Molecule: ribosomal RNA, 716 nt
Filed under: uncultured archaeon
Lineage: Archaea
Description: bacterial SSU rRNA
Rfam family: Archaeal small subunit ribosomal RNA
Source: RNAcentral
AUGGUUUAUGUUUCAAAUGAUUUAUCGCCAUAGGAUGGGACUGCGGCCUAUCAGUUUGUUGGUGAGGUAAUGGCCCACCAAGACUAUUACAGGUACGGGCUCUGAGGGGAGUAGCCCGGAGAUGGGUAUUGAGACACGGACCCAGGCCCUAUGGGGCGCAGCAGGCGAGAAAACUUUGCAAUGUGCGAAAGCACGACAAGGUUAAUCCGAGUGGUUUCUGUUAAAGAAACCUUUUGUCAGUCCUAGAAACACUAACGAAUAAGGGGUGGGCAAGUUCUGGUGUCAGCCGCCGCGGUAAAACCAGCACCUCAAGUGGUCAGGAUGAUUAUUGGGCCUAAAGCAUCCGUAGCUCGUUUUGUAAGUUUUCGGUUAAAUCCAUGCGCUUAACGUAUGGGCUGCCGGGAAUACUGCAUAACUAGGAAGUGGGAGAGGUAGACGGUACUCGGGAGGAAGGGGUAAAAUCCUUUGAUCUCUUGAUGACCACCUGUGGCGAAGGCGGUUUACCAGAACACGUUCGACGGUGAGGGAUGAAAGCUGGGGGAGCAAACCGGAUUAGAUACCCGGGUAGUCCCAGCUGUAAACUAUGCAAACUCAGUGAUGCAUUGGCUUAUGGCCAAUGCAGUGCUGCAGGGAAGCCGUUAAGUUUGCCGCCUGGGAAGUACGUACGCAAGUAUGAAACUUAAAGGAAUUGGCGGGGGAGCACCACAAGGGGUGAA